AUUGAACGCUGGCGGCAGGCCUAACACAUGCAAGUCGAGCGGAUGAAGGGAGCUUGCUCCUGGAUUCAGCGGCGGACGGGUGAGUAAUGCCUAGGAAUCUGCCUGGUAGUGGGGGAUAACGUCCGGAAACGGGCGCUAAUACCGCAUACGUCCUGAGGGAGAAAGUGGGGGAUCUUCGGACCUCACGCUAUCAGAUGAGCCUAGGUCGGAUUAGCUAGUUGGUGGGGUAAAGGCCUACCAAGGCGACGAUCCGUAACUGGUCUGAGAGGAUGAUCAGUCAACGUGAGAGUGAAAAGCGGUCCAGGCCCCUAGGGAAGGCCGCGGGGGGGAAGUUUGGCAGAAGGGGGAAAGCUUGAACCAGGCGUGGCGGGUGGGUGAAGAAGGCCCUCGGGUGGGAAGACCCUUUAAGUGGGGGAAAAGGGCAUUAAGUUAAACCCUGGGUUUUUGACGGUAACCAACAAAAAAACCCCCGCUUUAUUUGUG
RNAcentral lists this ribosomal RNA (483 nucleotides) under uncultured bacterium. Its description in RNAcentral is "partial 16S ribosomal RNA". It matches the Rfam family "Bacterial small subunit ribosomal RNA", at positions 29 to 507 of the family's 1533-position model. The record is from RNAcentral.